This 965-nucleotide ribosomal RNA is filed under the name Limosilactobacillus fermentum. RNAcentral describes it as "bacterial SSU rRNA". It matches the Rfam family "Bacterial small subunit ribosomal RNA", at positions 528 to 1492 of the family's 1533-position model. Lineage: Bacteria; Bacillati; Bacillota; Bacilli; Lactobacillales; Lactobacillaceae. The record is from RNAcentral.
UAGGUGGCAAGCGUUAUCCGGAUUUAUUGGGCGUAAAGAGAGUGCAGGCGGUUUUCUAAGUCUGAUGUGAAAGCCUUCGGCUUAACCGGAGAAGUGCAUCGGAAACUGGAUAACUUGAGUGCAGAAGAGGGUAGUGGAACUCCAUGUGUAGCGGUGGAAUGCGUAGAUAUAUGGAAGAACACCAGUGGCGAAGGCGGCUACCUGGUCUGCAACUGACGCUGAGACUCGAAAGCAUGGGUAGCGAACAGGAUUAGAUACCCUGGUAGUCCAUGCCGUAAACGAUGAGUGCUAGGUGUUGGAGGGUUUCCGCCCUUCAGUGCCGGAGCUAACGCAUUAAGCACUCCGCCUGGGGAGUACGACCGCAAGGUUGAAACUCAAAGGAAUUGACGGGGGCCCGCACAAGCGGUGGAGCAUGUGGUUUAAUUCGAAGCUACGCGAAGAACCUUACCAGGUCUUGACAUCUUGCGCCAACCCUAGAGAUAGGGCGUUUCCUUCGGGAACGCAAUGACAGGUGGUGCAUGGUCGUCGUCAGCUCGUGUCGUGAGAUGUUGGGUUAAGUCCCGCAACGAGCGCAACCCUUGUUACUAGUUGCCAGCAUUAAGUUGGGCACUCUAGUGAGACUGCCGGUGACAAACCGGAGGAAGGUGGGGACGACGUCAGAUCAUCAUGCCCCUUAUGACCUGGGCUACACACGUGCUACAAUGGACGGUACAACGAGUCGCGAACUCGCGAGGGCAAGCAAAUCUCUUAAAACCGUUCUCAGUUCGGACUGCAGGCUGCAACUCGCCUGCACGAAGUCGGAAUCGCUAGUAAUCGCGGAUCAGCAUGCCGCGGUGAAUACGUUCCCGGGCCUUGUACACACCGCCCGUCACACCAUGAGAGUUUGUAACACCCAAAGUCGGUGGGGUAACCUUUUAGGAGCCAGCCGCCUAAGGUGGGACAGAUGAUUAGGGUGAAGUCGUAAC